AACGCUGGCGGCGUGCUUAACACAUGCAAGUCGAGCGAUGAAGUUUCCUUCGGGAAACGGAUUAGCGGCGGACGGGUGAGUAACACGUGGGUAACCUGCCUCAUAGAGUGGAAUAGCCUUCCGAAAGGAAGAUUAAUACCGCAUAACGUUGAAAGAUGGCAUCAUCAUUCAACCAAAGGAGCAAUCCGCUAUGAGAUGGACCCGCGGCGCAUUAGCUAGUUGGUGGGGUAACGGCCUACCAAGGCGACGAUGCGUAGCCGACCUGAGAGGGUGAUCGGCCACAUUGGGACUGAGACACGGCCCAGACUCCUACGGGAGGCAGCAGUGGGGAAUAUUGCACAAUGGGGGAAACCCUGAUGCAGCAACGCCGCGUGAGUGAUGAAGGUUUUCGGAUCGUAAAGCUCUGUCUUUGGGGAAGAUAAUGACGGUACCCAAGGAGGAAGCCACGGCUAACUACGUGCCAGCAGCCGCGGUAAUACGUAGGUGGCGAGCGUUAUCCGGAUUUACUGGGCGUAAAGGGAGCGUAGGCGGAUGAUUAAGUGGGAUGUGAAAUACCCGGGCUCAACUUGGGUGCUGCAUUCCAAACUGGUUAUCUAGAGUGCAGGAGAGGAGAGUGGAAUU
Molecule: ribosomal RNA, 621 nt
Filed under: uncultured organism
Description: SSU rRNA
Rfam family: Bacterial small subunit ribosomal RNA
Source: RNAcentral